UGUUUCUCUCUCUGUCUCUCCUCCUCCCUUCCACUCUCGCUAAAAAUUAAUGGAAAAAUAUCCUUGGGUGAGGAUUGACAAGAAAAUAAUAAUAAUAAAAAUAAAGUGAGUUGUGACAUCAAGAUUGGUAUCCGAAUAGUGCUUGCACCUAGUAAACAUAGUGAAACAUUUAGCAGAAUAGCAUGUAGAAAUUGCUACUUGUGCUUUAAAAUAGAAAUUUGCCUCUUUCUGCCCUGUGAAAGUCAUUUGACAAAUUGUCUUAUUUUGUACUUACAAAGAUAAGGGUUAUUCACUUAAGAAUUUCUGCCCUUUCUUGCCUUUUGGCAUCACAGAACCUUAGAGAGUUAAUAAUAAGCCUUUGGUUUUCAUGGGCUAGUAGAAACUAAGAAAAAAAUUUUAGAUAAGGUCAAUUCUUAAUAUUACAGAAUAUUAUUUUAAAACAAACUACCUAUUUACUAAUGCCGUCGUUUUAUGAAAAACAUUGUAAAGGUGGAAAGGAAGUAAUAUUAGAAUUCAGGACAGUCAUUUCUCAAGAGAGAACAGUUAGCAAUUCUGUUGUCCUCUAAUCAUGUGUGCACACAAAUGCACUCUAGACCUUCUUAUUCUUCAGGAGGCCGCUGAAAACCUGUUGCAGACCUUACUAGCCCCCCAGUGAAUGUCAGGGAACCCCUGCUUUAACACAGCAAUAAAAACCACUCUUCACAUUAAAACAUGAAUGUUUUUAGCUGCAUGGAUUUGUUUUCUUUCCCUGGAUGUAUGAAAGGAAAAGGGAUCCAGUAGAAUCCAUUUGAGGUAACAUUUUUUUUUUUAGUUGAUUUUAGAGGGAAGGAGGAAGAAAGGGAGAGAGAGAAACAUCGAUGUGAGAGAGACACAUAGAUCAGUUGCCUCUGUGUACGUGCCCUGACUAGGAAUCCAACCCACAGCCUUUUGGUGUAUGGGAUGACUCUCUACCCAACUGAGCCGCCUGGCCAGGGCUGUGGUUGUAACAUCUCAAAGUCAGACAGAGCUCUGCAGCCCAAGCAGACAUGUUGGAUAGUUUCCUGACUUAACCUUGGUAAAUUCACUAGGUUGAGUAUUUAUUUUAGUGAAAUGGGUCUGUCUGAAUACUUCCUUAAAAGGUGUAAGUUAUUACUUUUCAAGUACAUGAAAUUUUGAGAUAUGCUAAAAAUUACCUAAUUUCUAAUGGCUGUGAGAAUGCAUUUAAUAAACACAGUAUCACAAAGCUUCAGAUCAACCAGAAGUAUGUUUAUAAUUUCUGUUAAUAUUGCCAGGUUUGUGCUUGGAAUGCCACAGAAAGCCUCCCAUCAGUUGUAUUUCUGUCGCCUGUGACUCAAUAGUAAUGAUUUAGAAUGAACGUAUUUAAUUAUUAAUAUUUAAUCAGCAAUACUUCUGGGUGUUUUUUAACUUGAAUCAUUUUACCCUUUAAGGUUUAGAAAGCACUUUCAUAUAUAAAUUCCCCCAGGCUUGCACAUACUUUAUUUAGUACAUUCUUAGUAAAUAAUUGUUUAAGUAAUACUGGCCCUGCGCUCAAAGGUUAAGCCCAAGUUCACGCCAUUAACAUCGUCUUAUAUUAAUGCUCAAGCCUCCUGGCUUUUUGACCUCUGCGUUCAAAGUAUGACAGAUUGCUGCGGAGCUUAGGAAUCAUGCAGAAUCUCAUUCAAGGAAACCUCUUUGUUUCGCAGCCAUGUUUCUUAGAUAUCAGGAGUUUUUGGAAAGUGGAGUUCUGUCUGUUGUAAUGUGAACCGAAGUCCAAAGUUAAUAUUGUAGGUGUCAUUUAUCGUAAUAUCUAAAAUUUGAGUAAUGCCAUAGUUACAUUGCCCUCAAGUGAUAGCUAAGAUCAAGAGAGUGAGGAAUAACUUCCAUGUAGAAGGAAUAUCUCUUAAGAAGACUCAUUUAGAGAAAUAAUUUGCAUAGUGCUUUUUAAAAAAAUCACAACAACGACUUUAAUAGUAACUGCAGAUUCGUGCAGACUCCACUUCUCAGCCAAUGGAAAGCCAGAGCAAAUCCAGGAAGCCAGCAGCUCCUGGUGAUUUUCCCUUAAAUAGGGCAGCAUUAAGAUGUUUUUGUAAACAUUUGGCAGCUGAAUUCCCACAGAAUGAAGUGUAGAGAAUUAUUGCAGCCUGCUCUAGGCAUGUUCAGUUUAAUCUGUAAAAAGCAAUGUGCAGUCCUUUAACCCCAUUUCAUGCUCCUCCUGGCUUUGUGAUGACUGGCCACGUAAGGAUCUCACGUGUUCUUUCGUCCCUGGGUGCCCGUGGUUUAAGCCCCUGUUCUGGGUAAUGGUAGCCACAGAGAAUUAAAUCCUUAGGAACCAGCCCUGCGGUAAGCAGGCUCACAUUUGAGUGCGUGCUCUGAGGUCGGCAUCGUGCUUAGUGCAUUAUCUCCAUUUAAUCCCCACAAGCAGCCGGGGAGCAGUGUGUGUGUUAGCAGCCCUGUUGUACAGACAAAGCAGCGCAUCGCACACUUCUUCUGAGAUCAGAAGUGGGGUGAGCAGACGCCUGAUGGUUGGACAGGGCACGUCGUCCUACCUGUGGGAAUCAGUGUCUCAGGAUCCCUAUUUUAUUAUGGGACAUUGGAAAGAAACAGGAGCCAGUAAAAAACUUGAGAAUUUUAGGUCCAUAAACACUGUUCUGCAUCUUAUUUUUUUUUUUAAAUAUAAAAGUACUGCAUGUGUUUUUCAGUAACUUCUUUUAUAAAAGACUUCCUGCUCAUCUCAGAGACACACGCAUAAAGACAGACCUCGUGUAAAUCUUGGUGCUUGGACCCAACCAGUGUAAUCCAGAUGGACAAAUUAUAGGGACCCUGUACAAAGCCUCGGAGACCGUCUAAGCUACUUUUAGUCUUGGCAGUGAUACCUCACUUAUGGUUGCGACCCACAGGUUGCGAACUGCUGCUUUAAAGGCUCCAAACUAUAGGCACCUCUUUGACAGUAACAAGAGUGGACUUUCUUAUGUCUUAGGCUCUGAGCAGAACUGCAAUUGUCCUCCCAUUGGAGAGAAAUCAGACUUAAUGUUUGUACACAUGGGAUUUUACCCCGUUAGAAUGAGUGCUCAUGUGUUCAGAAUAAAACAGUAUGUUUUGUAGGCAUUGGACCUGCUCUGAUUAUCUUACUAUUUGCCUUUCUCUUUUGACAGAUUGAAUCCAUGUAAUCAUGAUUGAAAUUCAGGCAGGCAAUGAACAGGAUUAAGAAACCAAAACCAGUGAAUUUUGAACUAAUUUUAGAGUUUUUUAAAAAAAGUUGCAAAAAUACUAUAGAGGCUCCCCUAUACCCUUAGCCCACCUCCCUUAAUAUUAACAUCUGAUAUAACCACAGUGCAGCUAUCAAAACUGGGGGAUUGACAUUGGUACAGUGCUAUUAACAGAUUUACAGCCCUGAGUCCAGUAAUUUCUCCGCUUCUCCCAUUAAUGUCCUGUCCCUGUUUCAGGCCCCCCAUUUGCAUUUACUUGUCAUUUCUCCUUCGUCUUUUCCAGUCUCUAAGUCCCUCUGUCUUGCCGAAGUCUUUCCUGUUGGUAUUCUUAAAUGUCUUUUUGCUGGUAAGGUUCAUGUUGGUGCCUCCACUGUGAAGUAAUUUGUUUCCCUUUUUGUAGUCAGUAAAUAUCUUAGGGAACUAUCUUGACACUAUGGAUUUUAAGUCAUUUUAAUGUACAAAUCACUAGCAUCCAGAUAAUAAAUAGAUGUUCCAAAGGCGCUUACCAUUGCUCAGAUUUAUAAGAACUAGAAUUGAGUUAACUUGACUUUGCAGGGUGAAGCUUGGACACCUCAGAGGCUGGCAUGCAGCACCUUCCUGUCCAAGGAGACAUGAUUCAUUCAGUCAUAGGAUGGAACCCUCCUCUUUAGAAAGAAGCAGCGCCCUCCCCGCAGGCACCCUCACAAACGCUAGAGCCAGAUUAGAUGCAGCAGUAGCUUCAGUGAGGGAGGAGGUAAUGGGCUUGCUUAUUUGCUUGGAUUGGGAGCGCUGCACUGGUCCGGAGUGGCUCUGUGAAAGGAGGCGGGGCUUAGCUGGGGGUGUGGGGUGCAACUCUUCCAGUGAUGAUUAAAGGGCUGGGGAUAAGUUAGGUUCAGACUUAGAUUUAUUUAUUGCCUUCAGCCAUUUCAGGUUUUCAACCAAGUUUCUAGAAGCACUUUUACCAAGUUGAAUUUCUGUCCUUAAAUAGCUAAACUCUCUUUUCCUGAUCCAAAUUAAUACAAUGGAAUUUCUUAUUAAGAAUGAAUUAUUAAGUAAAAUGGAAGCACUGGGCUAGGACAGCAAUUGCUGUAAUUUGUUUUCAAAGCCUUCAAAGUGCUGCAGCGCGCAUAGAUCACAGGCACUGGCUUAAGUGCCAAAGCACGGGCAUUAAUUUCCUUUCGGAGUGGAUUCCAGGUUCACAGGAUGUCAGAACUGCUGACUUGGCAGUGACGUCCCAUUUGUAACAUGUUAGAUCAGGAAACAGAUUGAUUUAUACGUUGAUGUAAUGGAUCAAGGCACAGUGUGCGCUUAAGAAAAUGGAGAGCCCAUUAAAUAAAAGCAUUUUCAGAGGGAAGAAGUACAAACAUAGAAAAGAUCCGAUUAUACUCUAGAUAAGGUGGGGUACGUUUGAUUAGUGGAUUCCUAGACACGGUCCACAGAGGCUUUUUGUAUUUCAGAUGAUACCUUCUUGAGAGUCUCUUAUGACCACAAGGAUUAAUCUUUCUGAACUCAGAAGUGAAUCACUGCAGCAGAUGAGCUGUCUGGAAUGGUGCCAGUUACUCUCCUUUUUCUUGGUGGUAACUGAUGUGAGGGUGUCGCUGCUUAGCUGCCUCUUCCUGUUGCUUUAACCUCUGGUAUUUUAGAUUCUCUUUAGGGAAGGGAAUGCUGACCAUCUCAGCACAGAGAUCAAAUGCACUUACCACUGCUGUGUUGACCUCAGCGGUUGACCCACACACUGAACAUUUAUGCAGCUGGAACCCUUGCGGUCUUUUAUCUAACAGCCAUAAUGAGUAACGCGUGGAACGUAAUCUUUGGUGCUGAUAAAUAGAGGGCUGCCUGCACAGUUCCGACCACUCCACAGCUGGGCCUUGGGUGACCUCGUGCAACUGACUGACCCUGUGUCUUACGUGUAUUCAUUUUUGGAAUCGAAGAGCCCAAGCUAGCAUCGCUCACAUGUGGACUGUGCAACUCCAGCUUCCUGAGCCAUUGCCCUGCAUAUACUCUGGGUUCCUUUCAGUCUGUUCUUCACCCUCAACCAGAGAAAGCAUCAGAGCUGCAUUUUGAAAAUACUAACUUUGUGCUUAAAACCUCUCUGCACUUCCAGCGAUGAAGACCAAAGUCCAUUCUUGGUCUGCAGACUGUUUAGUCUGUCCCUGCAUGCUCCCCUCCCACCUGUACCACUCCAAUUCCUCUCCGCUUACGAUGCUCAAAGCUCUGCUCUACUCAGUGCCAUUCUCUUCAGGAAGCUGUCCUGAUCAUCUCAUCCACGCCCAAGGCCGAGUCCCUUUCCAUAUGCUUCUUCCGUGCCGUGCUCUUUUCCUCCUCAGGAUGCCUGGGCAUGGGAUCACGCUUUUUGGGUGUAUGGACUGCUGCUCUAGACCGCAAGCCCCGUGAGAGCAGGGGGUCGUAGCUUUCUGCUCACCCUUGUGUCCUAAGCAUUUAGCUUGUUGGUUUGCAUAAUAGUAGCUGCUCAAUAAAAUUUGUGUACGUGAAUUGAAUAAAAGUACUGGAACUUUA
Long non-coding RNA from Myotis myotis, 5681 nucleotides. RefSeq lists it as uncharacterized. NCBI's taxonomy places the organism in Eukaryota, Metazoa, Chordata, Mammalia, Chiroptera, Vespertilionidae. The record is from RefSeq and is a predicted model, not a curated record. The transcript has 2 exons.